This 442-nucleotide ribosomal RNA is filed under the name uncultured bacterium. RNAcentral describes it as "partial 16S ribosomal RNA". It matches the Rfam family "Bacterial small subunit ribosomal RNA", at positions 338 to 795 of the family's 1533-position model. The record is from RNAcentral.
CCUACGGGGAGCAGCAGUGAGGAAUAUUGGACAAUGGGGGGAACCCUGAUCCAGCGACGCCGCGUGAGUGAAGAAGUAUUUCGGUAUGUAAAGCUCUGUCAGCAGGGAAGAAAGAAAUGACGGUACCUGACCAAGAAGCCCCGGCUAACUACGUGCCAGCAGCCGCGGGAAUACGUAGGGGGCAAGCGUUAUCCGGAUGUAUUGGGUUUAAAGGGUGCGUAGGCGGGAUGCCAAGUCAGCGGGAAAAAUGCGGUGCUCAACGCCGUCGAGCCGUUGAAACUGGCGUUCUUGAGUGGGCGAGAAGUAUGUGGAAUGCGUGGUGUAGCGGUGAAAUGCAUAGAUAUCACGCAGAACUCCGAUUGCGAAGGCAGCAUACCGGCGCCCUACUGACGCUGAGGCACGAAAGCGUGGGUAUCGAACAGGAUUAGAUACCCUUGUAGUC